RNAcentral lists this ribosomal RNA (253 nucleotides) under uncultured bacterium. RNAcentral describes it as "partial 16S ribosomal RNA". It matches the Rfam family "Bacterial small subunit ribosomal RNA", at positions 524 to 776 of the family's 1533-position model. The record is from RNAcentral.
UACGUAGGUGGCAAUCGUUGUCCGGAAUUAUUGGGCGUAAAGCGCGCGCAGGUGGUUUCUUAAGUCUGAUGUGAAAGCCCACGGCUCAACCGUGGAGGGUCAUUGGAAACUGGGGAACUUGAGUGCAGAAGAGGAAAGUGGAAUUCCAAGUGUAGCGGUGAAAUGCGUAGAUAUUUGGAGGAACACCAGUGGCGAAGGCGACUUUCUGGUCUGUAACUGACACUGAGGCGCGAAAGCGUGGGGAGCAAACAGG